Molecule: ribosomal RNA, 231 nt
Filed under: Salmonella enterica subsp. enterica
Lineage: Bacteria; Pseudomonadati; Pseudomonadota; Gammaproteobacteria; Enterobacterales; Enterobacteriaceae
Description: partial 23S ribosomal RNA
Rfam family: Bacterial large subunit ribosomal RNA
Source: RNAcentral
GAAUGCUGACAUAAGUAACGAUAAAGCGGGUGAAAAGCCCGCUCGCCGGAAGACCAAGGGUUCCUGUCCAACGUUAAUCGGGGCAGGGUGAGUCGACCCCUAAGGCGAGGCCGAAAGGCGUAGUCGAUGGGAAACGGGUUAAUAUUCCCGUACUUGGUGUUACUGCGAAGGGGGGACGGAGAAGGCUAUGUUGGCCGGGCGACGGUUGUCCCGGUUUAAGCGUGUAGGUGU